AUUGAACGCUGGCGGCAGGCCUAACACAUGCAAGUCGAACGAGUGGCGGACGGGUGAGUAAUGUCUGGGAAACUGCCUGAUGGAGGGGGAUAACUACUGGAAACGGUCACUAAUCCCGCCUACCAUCGGAUGUGCCCAGAUGGGAUUAGCUAGUAGGUGGGGUAAAGGCUCACCUAGGCGACGAUCCCUAGCUGGGCUGAGAGGAUGACCAGCCACACUGGAAAUUGGGCACGGGCCAGACUCCUCCGGGAGGCAGCAGUGGGGAAGAUUGCACAAUGGGCGCAAGCCUGAGGCAGCCAGGCGGCGUGGAUGAAGAAGGCCUUGGGGUGGUAAAGUACUUUAAGCGGGGAGGCGUUACCCGCAGAAGAAGCACCGGCUAACUACGUGCCAGCAGCCGCGGUAAUAC
RNAcentral lists this ribosomal RNA (406 nucleotides) under uncultured bacterium. Its description in RNAcentral is "partial 16S ribosomal RNA". It matches the Rfam family "Bacterial small subunit ribosomal RNA", at positions 29 to 526 of the family's 1533-position model. The record is from RNAcentral.